RNAcentral lists this long non-coding RNA (2031 nucleotides) under Manihot esculenta (cassava). RNAcentral describes it as "long non-coding RNA (MESC_LNC006514)". Lineage: Eukaryota; Viridiplantae; Streptophyta; Magnoliopsida; Malpighiales; Euphorbiaceae. The record is from RNAcentral.
UGGGAUGACGGACUCUGAGCGAUAACGCGACGCAGCAAAUCCCUCAUCUCCAGAAUCUCUUUGGCACUCUGCUCAUAACUUUGAGUGAGCUCCUCUAUCUUCUCUUCUAGUUGUUGCUUUCUCUGCUCAUACUCAUCAUGCUUAAAUGUCGGUUUUGACGUUAAAGAAUAAGAAGUAGCAGAUGAUGACGAUUUAAAAGCAGAUGUCUGAGAACCCACUCCGUGUACUAUUCUUUCUUUCUUCCCACUGAUUGCCUCCAGCUGCACAUCAUCUGGCUGCGUAGCCUCACUACACCCCUCCUCUUGUUGCUGUGUUGCAUUUUCCUUAAGCUCAAUGAAGUGCUCCUGCAUGGAAUUAAAAUUACAAGCGAUCACUUUAGAACUAUUUUGGUAAAUUAAAACUAUGUAUAAAUAUUUAAUUUUCACAUACAUGGAUAGCUUUAAGGCGUGCAUGAAUAAAAUUUGAAGUACCCUUUUUUCCGGGAGUAGCCUAAAAAACUCAUGUGGGUAAGGAUCUUUGUCCAACCUUUCUCGCUAUGAUGGAAAAAAUUUUAAAUUAUUUAGAUACUUUACUCAUUUAAUUGCACUAAUUCAUACUAAAUAUGAUAUGAGUAAAAGUAGAAUUAAACAAUACCGUUUGUUGAUGAUGACGAUACCGAGAUGUGGAGUCCUUAUAAUAGCGUGAGAUAGUUGCUCCGUCAUUGCCGGUUUUCCUCCUCCUAUUCCAUGAGAAUUUCUUGAAUUUUCCUAGAGGCUCAUAAUCACUCCAAGUAUAUCUCCGCCACUCCACUACUCUGUUUGAGACUGACAACCUCUUAUUCUUGCCAUUCCACGAUCUGAUGCUAUACAUUCGUGCUUCUGCCUUCAUGGAUUCAUGAUAGAAGCAGUGAUUGCUAAAUAAUACAAGACAAAUAUCUUCUGAUGGUUAUUAUGAAGAUACGAGCAUUUGGUAGCUUAACAAUUUCUCUGUUUUAGCCCUUUAAUAACGAGCUUAUAAGCUAUAAUUUGUCCUAUAAUGCAAUUGUUGAGUUCCGAGUCAAAAAAGGUAUAUUUGUUUCUUAUUUAAUUUGUUGUAUGUCUAACGUAUAAUCAUGAAGAAAAUUCAAAAACACCAUGUGCAGAGGAAUAAUACCUUCAAUAGUUAAGUAUAAGAGACUUAACCCAAUUUUCAUCUACAUUUCUAUGAUUGAAUAUAAUUCUUAGACCCUGAAGAUGACUGCUCCAAGAUAUUCAGAUUCCAAAAGCUUUUCCAAACUGAACAAGCUAGAGCAUCUAUACAGCAACUUGCUGGAUAAACAAGUUUUAAAGGUUUUGGGUAAAUUCUCGGCCCUCACAGUAAUUCUAUGGCAGGUCAACCAUCUGAGCUAGGUACGUGCAUUUGCAAAUUUAAUUUCCUCUUUUUUUUUUUUUUAUGCUUAGUUGCUAAGAAAAUUGAGUUUAAUAAGAUUUGAAUUAACCUAAUUUGGUUUAAAUCUUGCUGAACUUAGCAACUUGAAGUACUUAGUCUGCAAUUCAAUGACCCUGAAUGGAACUCUGCCCAUUCCUUGUUAAAAAAAUUAUUCUAUCAAAUUUCUAUUCCUAUUCACAAGUACAUUUCCAAAAUUUUAUUAGCAUGUUUUUCUUGGUAGAUUUGGGCAAUUUCAGGAGUUUGGAGAUUUUGGACUGGAGAGAGAACCAUUUCACUGGAAGCAUUCCACCAAACAUAUGAACAAAUCUGUACAUUACCAUAAAAUUUAGAGAUUUUGCCUGUUCACAUGAAGCAUAUAUGUAUAGAUGGACUUGAUAUUUUGUGAAAUUAUUAUAAAGUUUCAUAUGUUCAUAAUUUCUUGAAAUUAUCUGGUAACAUACUGAUGGGCUGGUCCAAAUAUCCAAUAUAUACUUCAUAUGAACAAUGCACUGGGCAUCUGUCAUCUCUCAGAGCUUUAAUUCCUGGGUAGCUAAAGUUUUAAAUUUUAUUUUUCCCUAUUAAUUUUUGUUGUGCAAUCACAAUCAGAGGGGAAAGGGAAGAGUGAACCAAAAACCAUCAACAAAU